This 1930-nucleotide unclassified non-coding RNA is filed under the name Hevea brasiliensis (rubber tree). Lineage: Eukaryota; Viridiplantae; Streptophyta; Magnoliopsida; Malpighiales; Euphorbiaceae. The record is from RNAcentral.
AAAAAAAAAGUUCAAAACCUUCAAAAAAACCCUAUCAACUAAAGCUACCAACCAACCUCCCAUGGCCUCAUCUACCCAACCAACGCCUAACCGCCACCACUCUAACCUCUUCCACUCCGCCACCACUGCUCUUAUCUCUCUUAUCUCCACCACUAAAACGUCACCGUUUUCAACAAUCCCGCUAUCUCCUUCUAAAAUUUGCAUUCCUUUCCAAUUUGCUGACUCCUCUUAUCCACUCACCCAAGCCACCGGCUCCCCCUUCGACUCUACUCAGCCAGACUCGGUCUCUUCAAAAUCGGCCGCCGUUAAGGGCUUGUCCUCUGCUGAGUCGAACUCGGGCUUCCCAUCAACUGUCAGGAUUGCUGGCCUCAAAUCAAAUGGCAAGAGUGGUGGGCCCGCUUUCGUGGGUCAGGUUUUCAGCAUGUGCGACCUUUCAGGGACUGGGCUCAUGGCUGUCUCAACUCAUUUUGAUAUUCCUUUCAUUUCAAAAAGAACACCUGAAUGGCUCAAGAAGAUAUUUGCAACNNNNNGUGAGAGGAAUGGUCCUGUGUUCCGUUUCUUCAUUGAUUUAGGUGAUGCAGUUACAUAUGUUAAACGGCUAAAUAUUCCAAGUGGUGUGGUGGGUGCUUGUCGUCUUGAUUUGGCAUAUGAACAUUUCAAGGAAAAACCUCACCUGUUUCAGUUUGUUCCAAAUGAGAAACAGGUCAAGGCAGCAAACCAACUUCUCAAGACAAUUCCUAAUGGGAGGAGGAAGGUAGAUGGGGUUCCCGUUUUCACGGCUCAAAAUUUAGAUAUAGCCAUAGCUACUGCAGAUGGGAUUAAAUGGUAUACGCCAUACUUCUUUGAUAAAAACAUGCUAGAUAACAUUCUUGAAGAAUCUGUUGAUCAGCAUUUCCACUCUUUAAUUCAAACUCGGCACAUGCAGCGCCGACGCGAUGUGGUAGAUGACAACUUUGCUGCAGAAGUCAUUGAAGAAAUGGGAGAUAGCGUGUUGGAGCCUCCAGAGGUUCAGGAAAUGCUGGAUGAGAUGGGGCAUCCUGGAAUACCUUUGAGUGUCAUUUCCAAAGCUGCUGAAAUCCAGCUUCUCUAUGCUGUUGACAGAGUACUCCUGGGUAAUAGGUGGUUGAGAAAAGCAACUGGCAUCCAGCCCAAGUUUCCAUAUAUGAUCGACUCAUUUGAGAAAAGGAGUGCGUCUUCUUUUCAAAGAGCCUUCGAGUCAACUGGCUAUCUUGCAAACCCUAAAACAGGUGAUGGCACUUCUAAGUGCAAAUUAAAAGACAAUGCUCAAGCCAAUCAUGAACAGAAAACAGAUUUGCCAGAUCUGCGGCUCCCAUUUGGAGAUUGGUUUGGGCAUCCAUGGUUGAAACAAAAGUGGAAACCUGAAAAGCAAUCAGAAAUAAGAUCACAUGACCCAUCAAGUGAAUGCAGAAAGCAAAAGUUAGAGCCCAAUCCUUUUCUUCCAAAGAUUACAAUGGUUGGUAUCUCAACUGGAGAGGCAGGACAAAUGAGCAAAGCUAGUUUAAAGAAGACAAUGGAGGACCUAACAAGAGAAUUGGAGCAAACAGAUCGGGAAAAUGCCCCUGGCAGUAGCAAUAAUAUUAAUGAGUUAGAAAUUGAAUAUAGGGAUCCACUAUUUGUUGCAAAUGUGGGUGAUUACUAUUCUGGUAUGUCAAGGACAAGUUCACCACGAUGGGUCAGUGGAGGAAGCAACUGAAGUCUCCUCGAGAAAAGAAAGCUUCUCAGAAAUGUAAAGUUAAUAGUGUAAUGUUUAAUAGGUCAUAUAUUCUUGGCUAUGUCGCCAAUUUUUUGCGGUUCAGUUGAUGUGGAUGCAUAGUUGUGCAUUUACGUUAUGCUAUCUCACUAUUGUAAAAUGCAACUUAUUUUGUUAUAGAUCAUCUGUUAGCUGGGAUGGUGUUGUCGAUGUGACUUG